Molecule: ribosomal RNA, 404 nt
Filed under: uncultured prokaryote
Description: bacterial SSU rRNA
Rfam family: Bacterial small subunit ribosomal RNA
Source: RNAcentral
UGGGGAAUAUUGGGCAAUGGGCGAAAGCCUUACCCAGCAACGCCGCGUGAAGGAUGAAGGUUUUCGGAUUGUAAACUUCUGUCCUCAGGGACGAACACAAUGACGGUACCUGAGGAGGAAGCCCCGGCUAACUACGUGCCAGCAGCCGCGGUAAUACGUAGGGGGCUAGCGUUAUCCGGAUUUACUGGGCGUAAAGGGUGCGUAGGUGGUUUCUUAAGUCAGGAGUGAAAGGCUACGGCUCAACCGUAGUAAGCUCUUGAAACUGGGAAACUUGAGUGCAGGAGAGGAAAGUGGAAUUCCUAGUGUAGCGGUGAAAUGCGUAGAUAUUAGGAGGAACACCAGUAGCGAAGGCGGCUUUCUGGACUGUAACUGACACUGAGGCACGAAAGCGUGGGGAGCAAACA